This 3002-nucleotide long non-coding RNA is filed under the name Triticum aestivum (bread wheat). RNAcentral describes it as "long non-coding RNA (TAES_LNC005465)". The record is from RNAcentral. Lineage: Eukaryota; Viridiplantae; Streptophyta; Magnoliopsida; Poales; Poaceae.
AUGAUCUGCGCUUGGUGUACUUACACUUUUUUUGGACUAAGGUAGUAGUGCAACUUUAAUGAGAAGAUUUACAAAAUCUGGUGGUGCUUACAUUUUGAUCUAUGCAUCUUUUCCCAGAAUUGAAUAACUGUGAGUUUGUGACCAUCGCCCUUGGCAUCUUUUAUGAUGUAUUUUGUGUGUGUUAGGUCAAGCAGUUCCUGUGAAAUGACUUUGGGAAUGGAGUGGUUCACUGGGGUAAUUAGCGGUACCACCACAUGCUGACAUGGAGUGUACGAGGUAUGUAUUUUCAGCUUGUUAAUUAGGAUGAAGUGGAAUACAUCAUAAAUAUUCUUUGCAUGACCGGUCAGGGACAUAUCAACACGUCCACUUAAUCAAGUUAAUCCAUGUUCAGUUCCUUAGUUUGCCUACCAUUGUCCGGAUUUACCAUGUAUUAUUUGACCGGAAAAAAUGCAUUGUUAAUCGCUUCGACGAACAAGUGAAUAUGUAGGUUGUAUCCCUCUUUAGUUUUUUAAUGGUCUAUUUCACUGACUCACUACUCCAUCAUACAUUAAGGUCAAGAAUUUUUCAUGUGUUGUCCCUUCUUAAAUAUGUUGCACUUGCUUUCUUCUGUCAGCAUUUUAGAAAUAUAAAUUUCCUCAAUUGAUUUCUUAUCCCGUUACCCCCAUGUAUGUAUUGGUUGUUGAGCAUCGUUCACUGUUACAAAGAUAGGUCAGUAGUCAGUAAGAUAAAUAAAAUUUUAAUAUAAGGUGGUAUUGUUCCAGUUUACUGGCGGUGCAUUUUCGCCCUUAAUGUUGUUGUUCUUGUAUUAUUUCUUAAGUUCUAAUUAAGACUAAUGAUCUAUUCACACAAGUCUUAAGAAAGGAGUGUGAAAUUAAUUUCUUAGCAAAGAAUCUAGAGUUAGACUUACUCGAUGGUUGAUCAGUCAAGUGAAGUAAUGAUCUGGAUGUGUUGGCAAAAUUUUUUUGCAAGUGCAUGGAGAAGCUAAGGAAUAUGUCAGCCACUUUCGUAUAUUGUGAUGUUAUUACUAUAUAUUAAAUGCGCUAGAUCUCAAUUCACAUAUCAUAAUCUAUCAAAUUGUGAUUAUGAUAUUUUGUUGCUCAAAAAAAUUAGAGUCAGGUAUGAUGACUUAAUAAUACUGAGACUUAAACUCAGCUACCAAGUAUUAAUAAAUUAAUGUUGCAUCUACUAAUAGCCUAAAUUAAUGAUUCAUGUUACAUAAUCAUACAAAGUUUACGUGUAAUUAGCAUGUGUGUUCUCAUUUGUCCAUUUUUAAAUAGUUUUAGGGAAUAACUAAAUACUAAUUUGAAAUGAAUAAGAUUAUUUUAACUAAUACCAAGUGUAGUUUGAUUCUCCUUUUAGUUUCUAAGAGAGGAAGGAAUUAGUUUUCUGUUUAAUAGCAGAAUAAUCAGACUUGUACCACUUUACUCACGAAAACAAGUUAUUUGGGUUUCUAACCGAGCUGACAUGCUGCUUCUUUAUAUAAUGCAAUCUACUUAUAAAGAAGGUGAUUUGUUAACCCCUUUCCGUCGUAGACAUAGUAUGUUGAAUUGGUAUUCCCAGUCUAUCAUGUUAAUUAGAAAACCUUAUGCCUAAAAAUGCUUUAAAGUGUCAUCAUUUGUUUUCUCCCAACCAUUUUUUAUCAUUACAUCGUUUUCCUGGCAUGCUCAAGAAAUUACCAGUGUGACUUGCCUUAUCCAGCCAUUGUCUGGACUCGCUGCUUAGUUUGGUUGCUAAUGUAGUCAGUACCGGCUUGCAUUGUAGUUCUCUUUAGUCCGAGCAAUGGCUGGAACUAAUUUUCACGGCUCAAAAGUAGUCCCAGCCACCGCUCCAUGGAAGAACUAACACUGCUGCUUUCUGUUUGGUAUAUUUUUUGGUUUGUUAGUCUUUAUAUGAGGUUUAACUAUUGUAGCUAAGAGAGAAACACGAGAAAGUAGCCAUUACAGUCACUUGUUAUAUUGGGAAAACAUCAACAGCUUGUAAUGUUUGUAUUCACGAAACAAAAUGAUUAUUUGGUAAAUAUAUUUUCUUAUGUCGUAGCAACGCACAUGUAUCUAGCUUUCUUAUUCAACAAGAACGAGAAAUACACUUCCAGAUUUGACCUGGUUGAGGAGGAAAUGUUGACAUGUUUUUUGACUUGGUUUUCCUUGAUUUCUUACAAUUUUUCUUUCCAUUUUCUUGAGUCUGUGUAGUUUAUCCCAUGUUAGCUGUUGUCAGUGUUCUAAUCUGAAUCAUAGGGGGAGUUGAAGUAGAUAGAAUAACCAUAUAUGUCCUACUACAUGAAGCAUUUUUCUGUUUGAUAAGCUAUGUUGUGCUGCAUUACCACAUCUCAUAUGAAAAUUAAUUCUGAUAUACCCGAAGUCCCCUACCAUGGAGAAGGAUAUGCUGCUAAGAGAUGGAGUUGGUAGUUAUACUAUUUACUAAAAUACCAGUUUGUGGCUUCAUACAAGUGUAGGCGCUAAAGCUCUUCAAUAUUUUUUCUGUUGAGAUAAAUAACCUAGCAUGCAUUUCUCCAUUAUGUUGAUUUCCUUAUUUUCCAUGAUAUUCCGCACAAAGCUAGGAGACAACAUUCUUGUAACCGAUGGUGUAUUGGUUAUGUUGGUUUGCCAACAAUUCUAGAAUUUCCUCUCAAACAAUGAAUUUUUGAAUUAGCAGUCGCUUUGAAUGUUAAGCUACCGAAUCAUAUGCUAUUGAGUUGUCAUUUAUGCAAAAAAUUCAAGUACUCAAGGAGAAUGUUGAAUUAUUUCUUUAAUUUGAUAUUCUCAAUAAUAGACACUAUAUGUUUGUGUACGUUUUUUGUAGCCACAAAAGCGUUAUCUUUAUAUUGUGUUGAAAGAAACAUUCGCAUUGCACUAUGCGUAAAUAACAAGAAAAAAUCAUGUCAUCAUCUCUCACGAUAUGUGAAGAUCAUUCCAUAGAGUUGCUAACAUUAAUAAAAGGUUUAAAGCAGUGGUAUGGUGAGAUGAUAAACUUUUAAAGCAACGACAAUGCUAAAACUAGGACAG